This 508-nucleotide ribosomal RNA is filed under the name uncultured bacterium. RNAcentral's name for it is "partial 16S ribosomal RNA". It matches the Rfam family "Bacterial small subunit ribosomal RNA", at positions 30 to 523 of the family's 1533-position model. The record is from RNAcentral.
AUUGAACGCUGGCGGCAGGCCUAACACAUGCAAGUCGAGCGGCAGCGGGAAAGUAGCUUGCUACUUUUGCCGGCGAGCGGCGGACGGGUGAGUAAUGCCUGGGGAUCUGCCCAGUCGAGGGGGAUAACUACUGGAAACGGUAGCUAAUACCGCAUACGCCCUACGGGGGAAAGCAGGGGACCUUCGGGUCUUGCGCGAUUGGAUGAACCCAGGUGGGAUUAGCUAGUUGGUGAGGUAACGGCUCACCAAGGCGACGAUCCCUAGCUGGUCUGAGAGGAUGAUCAGCCACACUGGAACUGAGACACGGUCCAGCCUCCUACGGGAGGCAGCAGUGGGGAAUAUUGCACGAUGGGGGAAACCCUGAUGCAGCCAUGCCGCGUGUGUGAAGAAGGCCUUCGGGUUGUAAAGCACUUUCAGCGAGGAGAAAAGGUCAGUAGCUAAUAUCUGCUGGCUGUGACGUUACUCGCAGAAGAAGCACCGGCUAACUCCGUGCCAGCCGCCGCCGUAA